RNAcentral lists this ribosomal RNA (301 nucleotides) under uncultured bacterium. Its description in RNAcentral is "partial 16S ribosomal RNA". It matches the Rfam family "Bacterial small subunit ribosomal RNA", at positions 509 to 808 of the family's 1533-position model. The record is from RNAcentral.
CAGUAGCCGCGGUAACACGAAGGGUGCAAGCGUUACUCGGAAUUACUGGGCGUAAAGCGUGCGUAGGUGGUGGUUUAAGUCCGUUGUGAAAGCCCUGGGCUCAACCCGGGAAUUGCAGUGGAUACUGGGUCACUAGAGUGUGGUAGAGGAUAGUGGAAUUUCCGGUGUAGCAGUGAAAUGCGUAGAGAUCGGAAGGAACAUCUGUGGCGAAGGCGACUAUCUGGGCCAACACUGACACUGAGGCACGUAAGCGUGGGAGCAAACAGGAUUAGAUACCCCAGUAGUCUCUGUCUCUUAUACA